AUCAGGAACGCUCCCAACUUCUUAACUUUCUAAUGUUAUCUUUUUCCCUGUAGCAAUUUAGAGGGUCCUGGAUUUUCACAUAGGUGAAUUUGCUUUACAAGACACCAGUAGGAAGAUAGUCAGGGAAGAUCCCAUAAGAAGGACCCGGGUCAUGCUAUAAGACGUGAUAAUUUUGAUUUAACAACAAUUCUCCAAGCCUGUGUCUUAGUGUGGUUCACCAUUCAUCAAGGACAUUAAAGUGGUGAAGCCCUUGAGUGCUUUGAUACAGAGUUGCAUCAACUUAAAUGGAAUUAAUUCUCUACCAUCACUUGCAUUAAGUAGGAGGAAUUCAACCAACCUUUGAACUUGAAGAGUGUAAUCAACAAGUUGGAAACACAGCGAUAGUUUCUCCAAGAUCUUCA
Molecule: long non-coding RNA, 401 nt
Filed under: Mus spicilegus (steppe mouse)
Lineage: Eukaryota; Metazoa; Chordata; Mammalia; Rodentia; Muridae
Description: lncRNA (ENSMSIG00000014207.1)
Source: RNAcentral